RNAcentral lists this ribosomal RNA (497 nucleotides) under uncultured bacterium. RNAcentral's name for it is "partial 16S ribosomal RNA". It matches the Rfam family "Bacterial small subunit ribosomal RNA", at positions 28 to 507 of the family's 1533-position model. The record is from RNAcentral.
GAUGAACGCUGGCGGCGUGCCUAAUACAUGCAAGUCGAGCGAACGGACGAGAAGCUUGCUUCUCUGAUGUUAGCGGCGGACGGGUGAGUAACACGUGGAUAACCUACCUAUAAGACUGGGAUAACUUCGGGAAACCGGAGCUAAUCCCGGAUAAUAUUUUGAACCGCAUGGUUCAAAAGUGAAAGACGGUCUUGCUGUCACUUAUAGAUGGAUCCGCGCUGCAUUAGCUAGUUGGUAAGGUAACGGCUUACCAAGGCAACGAUGCAUAGCCGACCUGAGAGAGUGAUCGGCCGCACUGGAACUGAGACACGGUCCAGACUCCUACGAGAGGCAGCAGUAGGGAAUCUUCCGCAAUGGGCGAAAGCCUGACGGAGCAACGCCGCGUGAGUGAUGAAAGUCUUCGGAUCGUAAAACUCUGUUAUUAGGGAAGAACAUAUGUGUAAGUAACUGUGCACAUCUUGACGGUACCUAAUCAGAAAGCCACGGCUAACUACGUG